RNAcentral lists this ribosomal RNA (490 nucleotides) under uncultured bacterium. Its description in RNAcentral is "partial 16S ribosomal RNA". It matches the Rfam family "Bacterial small subunit ribosomal RNA", at positions 29 to 523 of the family's 1533-position model. The record is from RNAcentral.
AAUGAACGUUGGCGGCGUGGAUUAGGCAUGCGAGUCGAGCGAGGAGAGUUUGGUAGCUUGCUAUUGAACUCGGAAAGCGGCGAAAGGGAGAGUAACGCGUAGUUACGUGCCCCAGGGUUCGGAAUAGCCACGGGAAACUGUGGGUAAUGCCGAAUAACAUCUCCGGAUCAAAGGUGUGAUUCCGCCCUGGGAGCGGACUGCGUCCUACUAGCUAGUUGGCGGGGUAAUGGCCCACCAAGGCAACAAUGGGUAGCGGGUGUGAGAGCAUGGCCCGUCUCACUGGGACUGAGACACUGCCCAGACACCUACGGGUGGCUGCAGUCGAGAAUCUUCGGCAAUGGGCGAAAGCCUGACCGAGCGACGCCGCGUGCGGGAUGAAGGCCCUCGGGUUGUAAACCGCUGUCGUAGGGGAGGAAGGCUCCAUGAAGAAUGGGGUUUGACCUAUCCUAGGAGGAAGUACGGGCUAAGUUCGUGCCAGCCGCCGCAGUAA